UACGCCUCAUCGACGCUAGCGCUCCCCCCCUUCCUUCUGAAACUGACAGAGACUCCGUCUUGCUCAUGCCCAGUCGACGCCUCUGAAGCUCUUCCCGUCUUCCUCCUUGCCAGAAGAAAGUUCGAGAAUUUUGCUUGCAAGUAUUUUUGCAGAUGCAUCUUUCAAUACUAAUAAACAGAUUCAGGAGCAUCACUUCAGGGGCAUGAAUGAGUAAACUUUGCUCUCGCCUCCAAGACACGCAUCUAUUUUCGGCCUACUAUUGUUAUGGAGCUAGCGAAGUAUUUCAUCCUUCCAAGACUCUGUGUUUUCUCUGGCAAAGCAUACUAAAAAGUACACAAGACAAAGGAGGUUGUGGAGGACGUGCACUUCUGAUUAGUCUCACAAGUCAGAACUGACGUCCUAAAUUGUUUAUUAGCCGUAUUCUUGAUUUUUUUGUUUGUGGAUUUUAAAGCACAGAGGAAGUUGGCGCAUGGAUGAAGAGGUAAUAGUGACUGGUGUACUUUUGUGGUAAAAAUAUGUAACUUACCUAAUUAGUUAACAGUUGUAUUUGUUAUACUCCAUGGAUUUUCAUGCGCGCUUCUUAAAAAUUUAUUGACUUAAUGCAAACUUAAAUAUCAUUAUAUAUCAGUACUUAAGACGGUACACAUGUAUCGGUUUCUGCAUAGAAAAUUGCUGAUCUUUUUUGUUCUUACGAAUUGUUUGUGUUUUGUGGAAUUAGUGUUCCCGUAGCCCAAAUCCUAUUGAAUUCACACACGCUUAAGUAACACUCCAGGUUGAAUUGAUCAUCUGCUCUUCUGUACGUCCAUGUUCAGAUAACAGCAGCCAUGCUUUAGGAUCUUUUAGUCCUAAUUUUUGUAAUGCAAUGUCGGUUUCCAUGAAAAUGCUACUGUCUAUUGACAUGUCAAUAGAAAUAUAUAUGAGAUGUUGUACAUGCAAACGGUAAUAUCUUGGUAGUAUAAUGAUGUACAUGCUUUAUUGAUUGGAAUAGAUCUUGAGGCUACUAUAGAAUUCACAAAUGAAACAACGCGGUUUGGAUAAUAUAUUACUUCACCUUCUUUUUACUAAAGUGUGCACACUAGAAGACAAACUGCGCCUUUGCUUCCAAUUACACCUUUGAAACUCCUGGGGUAUUUUAUUUGAUUAUUUGUCCUGUAUUAUUUGGCUGGUAUGUUAACUAUAUUAUUUUUACCCGUAUCCAAAUAUUUUUAAUUUGUGUAAAAUUAUGCUUACUUAUCUGCAGAAAAUUGCAAAUCCAUUCUUAACUGUGAAGCGCACAUGAAGAAUGUCCAUAUGCAAAGUUAUCCCUUGAUUGCUACAAGCAAUAACCCAGUUUUUAUUUCUUUUUCAAAUAUCUAGAUACGUAAUGCAUUGAUAUUACCCUAUAGUAGUUUAGCUGAUGAAUUUACCAGGUCUUAAUUGUGAACUUUGCCAUUAUUUUCCUGUGGCCAAUGUUCAUAUGGUCUGGACAUACGACACCAUCACUCUUGCAGCU
Molecule: long non-coding RNA, 1492 nt
Organism: Triticum aestivum (bread wheat)
Lineage: Eukaryota; Viridiplantae; Streptophyta; Magnoliopsida; Poales; Poaceae
Exons: 3
Source: RefSeq, a predicted model, not a curated record